RNAcentral lists this ribosomal RNA (487 nucleotides) under uncultured archaeon. Its description in RNAcentral is "bacterial SSU rRNA". It matches the Rfam family "Archaeal small subunit ribosomal RNA", at positions 19 to 511 of the family's 1478-position model. The record is from RNAcentral.
GGACCUGACUGCUAUCGGAUUGAUACUAAGCCAUGUGAGUCAUUGUAGUAAUACAAGGCAGACGGCUCAGUAACACGUAGCCAAUCUAACCUAUGGACGGGGAUAACCUCGGGAAACUGAGGAUAAACCCCGAUAGAUCAUUAUGCCUGGAAAGGUUUAUGGUCCAAAUGAUUCGUCGCCAUAGGAUGAGACUGCGGCCUAUCAGCUUGUUGGUGAGGUAAUGGCCCACCAAGGCUAUUACAGGUACGGGCUCUGAGAGGAGAAGCCCGGAGAUGGGUACUGAGACACGGACCCAGGCCCUAUGGGGCGCAGCAGGCGAGAAACCUUUGCAAUGUGCGCAAGCACGACAAGGUUAAUCCGAGUGUUUCCUGCUAAAGGAAUCUUUUGUUAGUCCUAAAAACACUAGUGAAUAAGGGGUGGGCAAGUUCUGGUGUCAGCCGCCGCGGUAAAACCAGCACCUCAAGUGGUCAGGAGGAUUAUUGGGCCU